GGGGCUGACUGGCUUUGACAGCGUGUAGAGGUGGUGGGUAAGCAUGCAGAGUGAUGAUGCCUACACUCUUUAAUCAGCGACAUCAAAAAUUCAAAUGGCGAAAACAACUACGCUCUCGCUGCUUAAUCGAAGUACAGUAGAUUAACUUUAUCUCAGCAACAGUUGCCGAGACGAGACAUCACCCGAUUGUCCUUUUUCCGAGACGGAUCGACCAGGUGGUGCAGAUAAAUCGGAAAUAUGGCGGUGAAAGCCUCGCGAUCCGCCGAGACUCUUAGAGGAUAAGGACGGAAUUGGUGGUUUCUAACCUGUUCCGUCACGAAAACCAAGUAGAAACUAAGCAUGUAGAAAGCUCAUUAGUUCCACGUUUGGACGAGGGUUCAAACCCCUCCAGCUCCACUU
Molecule: transfer-messenger RNA, 399 nt
Filed under: Duncaniella sp.
Lineage: Bacteria; Pseudomonadati; Bacteroidota; Bacteroidia; Bacteroidales; Muribaculaceae
Rfam family: transfer-messenger RNA
About the family: Bacterial tmRNA, also known as 10Sa RNA or SsrA, is named for its dual tRNA and mRNA-like properties. Its role is to liberate the mRNA from a stalled ribosome.
Source: RNAcentral